Small nuclear RNA from Parambassis ranga (Indian glassy fish), 140 nucleotides. Its record names the gene U4. It matches the Rfam family "U4 spliceosomal RNA". From Rfam's summary of the family: U4 small nuclear RNA (U4 snRNA) is a component of the major U2-dependent spliceosome. The structure of U4 snRNA from yeast and human has been reported. Lineage: Eukaryota; Metazoa; Chordata; Actinopteri; Ambassidae. The record is from Ensembl.
AGCUUUGCGCAGUGGCAGUAUCGUAGCCUAUGAGAUCUAUCCGAGGCGCGAUUAUUGCUAGUUGAAAACUUUACCCAAUACCCCGCCUUGACGACUUGAAAUAUAGUCAGCAACGGCAAUUUUGACAGUCUCUAAGGAGA